This 3703-nucleotide long non-coding RNA is filed under the name Nothobranchius furzeri (turquoise killifish). Its description in RNAcentral is "lncRNA (ENSNFUG00015006965.1)". The record is from RNAcentral. Lineage: Eukaryota; Metazoa; Chordata; Actinopteri; Cyprinodontiformes; Nothobranchiidae.
CACUGGACUGAGACACAUACCCCCUGGAAAUAUGAUGUAUCCGCUCUGACCUGAGAACACCUGGAGAUCUCCCGGGAUGAGUUGGAGAGGGUCGAUGGGGAGAGGAAGGUCUUGUCUGGACCCUCAGGACUCAACCAUGGAGGGAUGGAAACAAUGUGUCCAAAUGUGAUAAAUAUAUAUGUAUGUUUUUACAACAAUGACAUGAUCAGGUUCUAACAUAGAGCUCUAAUUGUGUUUUACGUGGGUGACAGCUCUAUGUUACCAUACGCAGACCAUUCAUACAGAAUUUAUGCAUCAGCAUCUGGAAAUAAUCUGUUUUGUCAGAAGCUCUUUUAGCUUGUUUUCAUAUUUGCUUCUAUAUUUCUUUACUAUUUAUUUUUUAAUCUUUGCUCUUUCUGUUCUUUUCUUGUAGUUUAUCAAACACCUUUCCUCUAAGUGAACACCAGGGGGCGCAGGAGGACACUGAUGCUCUUUUUACCUAAACAGCAGCUGUUCGGUCUUCUUCUGUGGUGGUUUCUUACCAUGCACAAUCCCAUUAUUUACUUUUGUAGUAAAUUUUAAAGAAACAUUCUUUAAUACAUUUGUUAGAUUUUCUGCAAAUGAAGUUUUAGAGUGUAGAUGCUGAGUGACAGCAGUGGGAGAUUAAAGUCACAUAAUCCAGCAUUAAAAGUAGCCCCAUAGAGGCUGACUGAGCUGUUUCAGUAACAGAAACACUAAAGUCUGCAUCAGUUCUAGCUUUUGACACAUCUGGGUGUGAAAUGGUCUCCAGCUCAACGUGACUCAAAAGCAGAAGAAGUGCUCAACAGUUCCUUAGAGAAAAGAAAGACUUUGACAAGACUGAUGCAAAUCAGGAAGUGGUUUGCCCACUAAUUACAGGAAGUAGAAACGCCAGUAAAUGCUCAAGUUUAGAAGGAUGGGAAGUAAAGGGGCGAUGAAGGGAAGAGGAGCGACGGGCGACUCGAAGUGGAUCCGGAUGUUCUUACUGGUCAUGAUGUCUACAGGAGUCAUUUGUGGAGAUCUUCUCUACACCAUCAGAGCUGGAGAUGAUGUCACUUUGUCUUGUGAAAAUGUGAUUAACGGUCACAGAAACUGUAACACCACCACCUGGAACUACAAUAAACCAGGAGGAGCAGCACAAGAGCUGGUUGGUCAUGGCCAGGUUAAAUGCAACAGAUCAGACUCACUGAGUCUAGCAGGAAACUGUUCUCUGGUUCUGAGGAACAUCUCAGCUGAAGAUGCUGGUUUAUACACCUGCAGACAGUAUGAAAGAGAAGGAGAUAGUACAUCACGUAGUGAUGCUCCUGUUUACCUCUCCGUUGUUACCCUGAGAGAACAAACAGAGCAGAACAAGGUGACGUUCACCUGCUCUGUGUCGCCGUACGAUGAAUGCAGACGUAAAGUGAAGUGGUUGUUUAAGGUUAACGAUGUGGAGAAAGAUCAUCCUGAUAUAAAGACAUCAUCUCCAUCUUCCUGCUCUGCUGCUGUGACCUUUCAGACCUCCACCUACGUUUACUCAUCAAGGUUUAAGUUAUUCAAAUGUGAAGUAGAGACAGAAAACAAACAGCAGCUUUUUACCUUCAGCUCUGGUCCAACAGGAGGGAAAACCAACACGACCGACUCUGCAGGUGGAAGCGGAGCUGCAGACCGAGGGUGGACCUGGGUGUACGUCGGGGUGGGCGUGGCCACCGUGGCCUUAAUCAUAGGCCUCGCACUCGUCAUACUCAAGAGAAAUCAAGUUUUACAGCAGAAAGGCCCAAAACAUUCCAGUGGGGGCACGACCUCCGACCCUGACGUGGCUCCGUGUGCCUCAGAACAAGAACAGGUUGAAGCUGAAGGUGAAGCUGCCUACGCCUCCAUCAGCUACACCAAGAAACCCAACAGGAGCAGCAGGGAGAUUAAUGUUGACGUUGAUGUCACUUACAGCGUGGUGAAAGCUCCGCCCACUGAUCCCAACAGCCUCUAUGCUUCAGUCGUAGAAAAACCUAAAUAAUAAAUAAUAAAACUCUGCUGGUCUGAUAGCAAAGCCUCAUCAGUUAAUGGAAGAUGUUUUUCAUGGUUUUUGUUUAUUUUAAAGCUUUGUUUUCUUUUAGCGUCAUCUUUAAAGUAACUCAUCAGUAUUUAACCCGGACUGUAUUAUGUAACAGUUUGAUAUUUAAUUAGACUUUUUACUUUAAGCGAUGGGCGUGACAGGAACAUGUUCAGAUGUCAUGAAGGAUGUGAUUCAGCAGAGCAGCUGUGAGAUGUAAAAAUCCAACUCAUGAAGAAACUUGUUGUCACGGAGACGCAGGAUGAGUGACAGCUCUAAAGAUGCUUUUUACAGUCAUGCAUGUUUUCUUUUCACCUCUUCUUACACACAUACACAUGUAUUUAUGCAUGUAAUGUUUUAGACUUAUUUUGUAUUUUUAACAGAUUCAGAUGCAAUAUUUUGACAUUUUCUUUUAUUUUUUUUUUGUUUUGUUUAAAUGCUCAUUUUCUUGUAAAAGUCUUAAUGCUUCAGAUGGUUCAGUUAUUGAUAUGAUGACACCUGCUGGUAAAAUGGCAUCCAUAAUAAAGACACAUCAGUUUGUUUCACAUAAAUCUUAAUUAUUUUCUGUCAGAUUUUUUACUUUGCAUAUUUAUCUAACUAAUUAUGUACAAUAUAAUAUAUAUUUAAUAAACACAGUUGUAUAGUAUUUGUUUUUUAUGUUUCCUUUUUAAGUUCCUUCUGAUAAAUUUGCUACAUUUUCAUUUUUUUAUCAAACAUCUUUGCACACGGAUAUUUUUAAGAGUAGCGGAAAGACAAUAUAAGCCUUUGUGAAUUAUUUUAAUGACAAAUUUGAUCAUGUUGGUCAGAAAUCAAGGAAACUUUUUUUUCAGUGGUUUCCAAAGUAGGGGUCAGGACCCACUGAGGGAUACUAAAUGCUAGACUGUUGGUGUCAUUGAAUGAUCAACUAAAAUAAAACUAAAGAGUCAGCAAAAAACUGUUAAUUUUCAUAAUAACAGUCAAUAAUAUAUGAUAAUAAAAAUGAUAACCAAGUUUAGCAACCAUUUGACAUGAGAUAUUCAGCUAAAAUACAGUGUAGCAAAAUAUGUAAUAUAUGUAAAGGUUCUGUGAAGCUAAACAUUAUUUCAAUUUAAUUUAAUUUAAUUUAAUUUAAUUUAAUUUAAUUUAAUUUAAUUUAAUUUAAUUUAAUUAACAAUGACCUUCCGAUCCAGACAGUGGCGCUGUUGCUGCUAUGUAGCAACAUUUUACUAAUCGGAAGUUGUUUGCUGACGUUUCCGCGUCACUCCGUUUCCAAGCUGCUGUUAUGGUGGAAGGGUCGGGAAUUUGGUGCAUUUCUUUCUCCAUAUUGGAAAACUUAGCCCCAGCUGUAUUUUUGUACUAACUUUGAUCAAAAGACAGGAGUGAAUGGUAUCUGUUCGGUAAGUAGGAGACGCAGAAUGACGUUAGACAGAGAUGCUAAAGGGUAAUUAGCUGUUUGCUAAAUGUCGGCGACGACACCGGCAUCGGCUAGCUUCCAAACAACUUCUCUAUUAUUAUUUUUUAUGUUUAAAUACUUCAAAUGCAGCGGUGAGCAUGUGUACUUUAGUCUGUUGUUUUAACCUAACCGCUAUGUUUUUGGCGCUGCGGUUAGCAUCUAGCAUGAGCUAACUGUGAGAGCGACGCCUUCGCGGGUUGUUUCUCUUUGACUUGUUUACUGUUUGUGACGCCGGUUUGAGGUUG